Molecule: small nuclear RNA, 104 nt
Organism: Suricata suricatta (meerkat)
Lineage: Eukaryota; Metazoa; Chordata; Mammalia; Carnivora; Herpestidae
Source: Ensembl
GCUCCCUUCAGCAGCAUAUGCACUAACAUCGGAAUGAUACAGAGAACAUUAGCAGGACCCUGUACAAACAUGAUAUGCAAAUUCAUGAGGCCUUCCAUAUUUUC